This 364-nucleotide long non-coding RNA is filed under the name Bos indicus x Bos taurus (hybrid cattle). Its description in RNAcentral is "lncRNA (ENSBIXG00000007082.1)". The record is from RNAcentral. Lineage: Eukaryota; Metazoa; Chordata; Mammalia; Artiodactyla; Bovidae.
AAUGAAAUUUAAUGAAGAAAAAAUGAGAACAUUGCAGUGACUCAGCUUUUCUGCUUUUCCUAGUGUGUUGAGAUUAUUUUUGAAACAACUUUUCACUAUAGAACCCAUGGAACAAAGUUGAAAAACUAUCCAGAUUUCAUCUUCAGAAUCCUCCUGCUUCCUCUGAAUGUGUCUUCUUACACAUAAGAACUCCUGUCCUUGAAGUUGUUUUCCGACUGCAGUCAUCUCCUCAUACUCCUCCCAACCUGUGUAUACACAGCGUUGGUCUGCUGGCUCACUUACAACUGGAAAAACAGAACAGGCAUUAAAAGAGCUCCAGGAAUUGCCUAUAUCAAUGAAAAGAAGGAUGCUGCAUAAGGUCUGA